UAAGGAAUAUUGGUCAAUGGGCGGAAGCCUGAACCAGCCAUGCCGCGUGCAGGAAGACGGUGCUCUGCAUUGUAAACUGCUUUUAUACCAGAAUAACCUCCCGGUCGAGCACCGGGACUGCAAGUAUGGUAAGAAUAAGGAUCGGCUAACUCCGUGCCAGCAGCCGCGGUAAUACGGAGGAUCCGAGCGUUAUCCGGAUUUAUUGGGUUUAAAGGGUGCGUAGGCGGCCUGAUAAGUCAGGGGUGAAAGACGGUGGCUCAACCAUCGCAGUGCCCUUGAUACUGUCGGGCUGGAUUGAACUUGAGGUAGGCGGAAUGUGACAAGUAGCGGUGAAAUGCAUAGAUAUGUCACAGAACACCGAUUGCGAAGGCAGCUUACUAAGGUUUUAAUGACGCUGAGGCACGAAAGCGUGGGGAUCAAACAGG
This 425-nucleotide ribosomal RNA is filed under the name uncultured bacterium. RNAcentral's name for it is "bacterial SSU rRNA". It matches the Rfam family "Bacterial small subunit ribosomal RNA", at positions 355 to 776 of the family's 1533-position model. The record is from RNAcentral.